RNAcentral lists this transfer RNA (72 nucleotides) under Octopus vulgaris (common octopus). It matches the Rfam family "tRNA". Rfam says of the family: Transfer RNA (tRNA) molecules are approximately 80 nucleotides in length. Their secondary structure includes four short double-helical elements and three loops (D, anti-codon, and T loops). The record is from Rfam by way of RNAcentral. RNAcentral also lists the same sequence under 2 other names. Lineage: Eukaryota; Metazoa; Mollusca; Cephalopoda; Octopoda; Octopodidae.
GGUCCUAUGGUGUAAUGGUUAGCACUCUGGACUUUGAAUCCAGCGAUCCGAGUUCGAAUCUCGGUAGGACCU